GGACCCGCACAAGUAGUGGAGCAUGUGGUUUAAUUCGAAGAUACGCGCAGAACCUUACCAACACUUGACAUGUUCGUCGCGACUCUAAGAGAUUAGAGUUUUCGGUUCGGCCGGACGAAACACAGGUGCUGCAUGGCUGUCGUCAGCUCGUGUCGUGAGAUGUUGGGUUAAGUCCCGCAACGAGCGCAACCCUCACUUUUAGUUGCCAUCAUUUAGUUGGGCACUCUGAAAGAACUGCCAGUGAUAAGCUGGAGGAAGGUGGGGAUGACGUCAAGUCCUCAUGGCCCUUACGUGUUGGGCUACACACGUGCUACAAUGGUAUCUACAACAGGAAGCAAGACUGCGAGGUCAAGCAAAUCCUUAAAAGAUACCUCAGUUCGGAUUGCACUCUGCAACUCGAGUGCAUGAAGCUGGAAUUACUAGUAA
RNAcentral lists this ribosomal RNA (426 nucleotides) under uncultured bacterium. RNAcentral describes it as "bacterial SSU rRNA". It matches the Rfam family "Bacterial small subunit ribosomal RNA", at positions 917 to 1341 of the family's 1533-position model. The record is from RNAcentral.